GUCGAGAAUCUUUCACAAUGGGGGCAACCCUGAUGGAGCGACGCCGCGUGGAGGAUAAGGUCUUCGGAUUGUAAACUCCUGUCAUGCGUGAACAAGGUUGCUUGGUUAAUACCUGGGCAAAUUGAUGGUAACGCAAGAGGAAGAGACGGCUAACUCUGUGCCAGCAGCCGCGGUAAUACAGAGGUCUCAAGCGUUGUUCGGAAUCACUGGGCGUAAAGGGUGCGUAGGUGGCGUGGUAAGUCAGAUGUGAAAGCCCGGGGCUCAACCUCGGAACUGCAUCCGAUACUGCCAUGCUAGAGUACUGGGAAGGUGACUAGAAUUCUCGGUGUAGCAGUGAAAUGCGUAGAUAUCGAGAGGAAUACCAAAGGCGUAGGCAGGUCACUGGACAGUUACUGACACUGAGGCACGAAGGCCAGGGGAGCGAACGGGAUUAGAAACCCUUGUAGUCC
Molecule: ribosomal RNA, 449 nt
Filed under: uncultured bacterium
Lineage: Bacteria
Description: partial 16S ribosomal RNA
Rfam family: Bacterial small subunit ribosomal RNA
Source: RNAcentral